Molecule: ribosomal RNA, 777 nt
Filed under: uncultured Neocallimastigales
Lineage: Eukaryota; Fungi; Neocallimastigomycota; Neocallimastigomycetes; Neocallimastigales
Description: partial large subunit ribosomal RNA
Rfam family: Eukaryotic large subunit ribosomal RNA
Source: RNAcentral
CGUCUAUAUACGUAUAGCAUAUCAAUAAGCGGAGGAAAAGAAACUAACUAGGAUUCCCUUAGUAACGGCGAGUGAAGCGGGAAGAGCUCAAAUUUGAAAUCUUCAAGGUUCUACCUUGACGAAUUGCUAGUUUAAAGAAGUGUUUUCUGUUGGAGUUUUGGUAAAAGUUCUUUGGAAUAGGACAUCAUAGAGGGUGAGAAUCCCGUAUUUGACCAUUUCUUCCAGCUGUGUGAUACACUUUCAAAGAGUCGGAUUGUUUGGGAAUGCAGUCCAAAAUGGGUGGUAAAUUUCAUCUGAAAGCUAAAUAUUGGCGAGAGACCGAUAGCGAACAAGUACCGUGAGGGAAAGAUGAAAAGAACUUUGAAAAGAGAGUUAAACAGUACGUGAAAUUGUCAAAAGGGAAGCGUUUGACACCAGUGUUGUUUUCUCGAAAAUCAAUUAAAAAUGACCGGAUUUUGUGUUGUAUUGACUUUAUCAGCUUUCUGCACUUUUUUCUUGUCUUUUUUAAUGCACUUUUCGUUUAACAAGUCAACAUCAAUUUCUUUUGUUGUAAAAGAGUCAUUGGAAGGUGGCUUUCAUUUCGGUGAAAGUGUUUAGUAGCCUUUGACUUCUGCAAUCGGAGAGAUUGAGGUCUGCAGCGUAGAUCCUUCGGGGUUAGAUACAUUUGUGCUAAGUUAUAGUUUUUCAUAGACAACAUGCUGACUAUGAUUAAUCAUGUAGCUUACUCGCUUAUGCUAUUUUACCUACGCUUAGGAUGUUGAUAUGCAUGACUGAUAU